UACGAAGGUCCCAAGCGUUAUCCGGAUUUAUUGGGUUUACAGGGUGCGUAGGCGGGCUAUUAAGUCAGUGGUGAAAGCCCCAAGCUUAACUUGGGAACUGCCAUUGAUACUGAUGGUCUUGAGUACAUUUGAGGUGGGCGGAAUGUGUCAUGUAGCGGUGAAAUGCUUAGAUAUGACACAGAACACCGAUUGCGAAGGCAGCUCACUAAACUGUAACUGACGCUGAGGCACGAAAGCGUGGGGAGCAAACAGG
RNAcentral lists this ribosomal RNA (253 nucleotides) under uncultured bacterium. RNAcentral describes it as "partial 16S ribosomal RNA". It matches the Rfam family "Bacterial small subunit ribosomal RNA", at positions 524 to 776 of the family's 1533-position model. The record is from RNAcentral.